AUUAGAGUUUGAUCCUGGCUCAGGACGAACGCUGGCGGCGUGCCUAACACAUGCAAGUCGAGCGACGAAACCCCUUCGGGGGUGGAUUAGCGGCGGACGGGUGAGUAACACGUGGGUAACCUGCCUCAAAGUGGGGGAUAGCCUUCCGAAAGGAAGAUUAAUACCGCAUAAAGCCAAGUUUCACAUGGAAUUUGGAUGAAAGGAGUAAUUCGCUUUGAGAUGGACCCGCGGCGCAUUAGUUAGUUGGUGGGGUAAUGGCCUACCAAGACAGCGAUGCGUAGCCGACCUGAGAGGGUGAUCGGCCACAUUGGAACUGAGAUACGGUCCAGACUCCUACGGGAGGCAGCAGUGGGGAAUAUUGCACAAUGGGCGAAAGCCUGAUGCAGCAACGCCGCGUGAGUGAUGAAGGUCUUCGGAUUGUAAAGCUCUGUCUUUUGGGACGAUAAUGACGGUACCAAAGGAGGAAGCCACGGCUAACUACGUGCCAGCAGCCGCGGUAAUACGUAGGUGGCAAGCGUUGUCCGGAUUUACUGGGCGUAAAGGGUGCGUAGGCGGAUGUUUAAGUGAGAUGUGAAAUACCCGGGCUUAACUUGGGUGCUGCAUUUCAAACUGGAUAUCUAGAGUGCAGGAGAGGAGAAUGGAAUUCCUAGUGUAGCGGUGAAAUGCGUAGAGAUUAGGAAGAACACCAGUGGCGAAGGCGAUUCUCUGGACUG
This 713-nucleotide ribosomal RNA is filed under the name uncultured bacterium. Its description in RNAcentral is "bacterial SSU rRNA". It matches the Rfam family "Bacterial small subunit ribosomal RNA", at positions 1 to 736 of the family's 1533-position model. The record is from RNAcentral.